This 253-nucleotide ribosomal RNA is filed under the name uncultured bacterium. RNAcentral describes it as "partial 16S ribosomal RNA". It matches the Rfam family "Bacterial small subunit ribosomal RNA", at positions 524 to 776 of the family's 1533-position model. The record is from RNAcentral.
UACGUAGGGGGCGAGCGUUGUCCGGAUUUAUUGGGCGUAAAGAGCUCGUAGGCGGUUUGUCGCGUCGGCCGUGAAAUCUCCACGCUUAACGUGGAGCGUGCGGUCGAUACGGGCAGACUUGAGUUCGGUAGGGGAGACUGGAAUUCCUGGUGUAGCGGUGAAAUGCGCAGAUAUCAGGAGGAACACCGGUGGCGAAGGCGGGUCUCUGGGCCGAUACUGACGCUGAGGAGCGAAAGCGUGGGGAGCGAACGGG